CCUACGGGAGGCUGCAGUGGGGAAUAUUGGGCAAUGGGCGCAAGCCUGACCCAGCAACGCCGCGUGAAGGAAGAAGGCUUUCGGGUUGUAAACUUCUUUUGUCAGGGGCGAAGCAAGUGACGGUACCUGACGAAUAAGCCACGGCGAACUACGUGCCAGCAGCCGCGGUAAUACGUAGGUGGCAAGCGUUAUCCGGAUUUAAUGGGUGUAAAGGGCGGGUAGGCGGGGAAGCAAGUCAGAUGUGAAAACGACGGGCUCAACCUGUGGCCUGCAUUUGAAACUGUUUUUCUUGAGUGCGGGAGAGGUAAUCGGAAUUCCGGGUGUAGCGGUGAAAUGCGUAGAUAUACGGAGGAACACCAGUGGCGAAGGCGGAUUGCCGGACAGUAACUGACGCUGAGGCGCGAAAGCGUGGGGAGCAAACAGGAUUAGAUACCCUAGUAGUC
Molecule: ribosomal RNA, 443 nt
Filed under: uncultured bacterium
Lineage: Bacteria
Description: partial 16S ribosomal RNA
Rfam family: Bacterial small subunit ribosomal RNA
Source: RNAcentral